UACAGAGGGGGCAAGCGUUAUUCGGAAUUAUUGGGCGUAAAGGGCUCGUAGGCGGCCAACUAAGUCAGACGUGAAAUCCCUCGGCUUAACCGGGGAACUGCGUCUGAUACUGGAUGGCUUGAGUUUGGGAGAGGGAUGCGGAAUUCCAGGUGUAGCGGUGAAAUGCGUAGAUAUCUGGAGGAACCCCGGUGGCGAAGGCGGCAUCCUGGACCAACACUGACGCUGAGUGAGCGAAAGCGUGGGGAGCAAACAGG
Molecule: ribosomal RNA, 254 nt
Filed under: uncultured bacterium
Lineage: Bacteria
Description: partial 16S ribosomal RNA
Rfam family: Bacterial small subunit ribosomal RNA
Source: RNAcentral